UUUAUUUCAGAAUUUGAAGAAACACUGUAUUUUUUCAAUAAGUAUAUUUUUUGCUGAUCAUUUUAGUGUGCCUGAUUUAAUUUUUCGAGCAAAUUUUCAUCAAACUUCUAUUUAUAAUCGAUUCUUUUAUUUCUUUGUUCUAGUAUCCAAAUUAGAGAUUGUUUUAUUAUUAUUACUUAAAUAAAAUUACUGUUUAGGAAUUUUUAAUAAAUAUUUUUCUUUAAUAAUAGAUAAUAAUAAUUGUUAACAAAUAGGUAAAUUUAAUAGCAUUGAAUUCCUUGAAAAUUGCUAACUGGUACCACGAACGGAUCCCUCACAAACGGUAACAAAAAGAAAGUGGAUAGCUCACAAAAAUCCUC
RNAcentral lists this long non-coding RNA (359 nucleotides) under Lathyrus oleraceus (garden pea). RNAcentral describes it as "Pisum sativum (pea) long non-coding RNA (PSAT_LNC009764)". The record is from RNAcentral. Lineage: Eukaryota; Viridiplantae; Streptophyta; Magnoliopsida; Fabales; Fabaceae.